AAGUCGUAACAAGGUUUCCGUAGGUGAACCUGCGGAAGGAUCAUUAACGUGUCUGGCUUCGGCCCUCACGCCCCUUGUGUACCUCUGGUUUCUUUGGCGCCCCGCGUCAACGAACAACUCUUAUGAUUACUCGUCGAUACAAAUGAUUAAAA
RNAcentral lists this unclassified non-coding RNA (152 nucleotides) under plant metagenome. RNAcentral describes it as "partial contains small subunit ribosomal RNA and internal transcribed spacer 1". The stretch from base 1 to 46 matches the Rfam family "Eukaryotic small subunit ribosomal RNA", at positions 1786 to 1831 of the family's 1831-position model. The record is from RNAcentral.